GAGGAAAUUACAUACGGAGUAAUAAUUUACCCAAAUUAUCAAAUUAAGGCGGAUAAAAGUGAAAAUUGAAGGCAUGAAGCCCGCAUCACUUACACUUUCAUGAGUUUCAUCAAAAAGUGAAACCUUUUUCUCAUUUAUCAGCAAAAAAAAAAAAAGUGAAACCUCCAUCAAACCUCCUUAGCAAAACCUUCAUCACCGCUUAUUGUUUAGCUCCACUGCCGCUCUACUGCUGCUCCACCACCGCUCUACCGCUGCUCCACCGCCGCUCUAUCGCCGCUCCACUUCUGCAGUACCGGACCUGUCUGCUGAGCCACAAGUAAAUUGAGUGAAGGAGAUGGAGAUGGUUUAGGCUGUGCUGGCGCCACUCCUGCUGGAUGGAAAGGGGGCCGCUAUGCAGGUGGCUGAGAUGGUACUUGGGUCUCUUGGCUGGGACGUGGAGCAACAGGUGCUUGCUGAGGUGUAUUUUAAGCAAGUUCCUCCUACAUAUUCUCAACAAAUGAUCGAGGAGCUUAGGGAAAGGUGGAUUGCAUAUGUUUCCGGAAACCAUCAACCAAAUGACAACGACGAUGAUAUAUGUGAAUUGUAGAUCAAUAUGGUAUUGAUAUAUUUAAGCAUAAUUUUUAUUAAAUCAACAUUAAUUAGAAAGGUGUUUUGAUAUUUAACUCACGGAUUUGUUUGUAUAAUUUUUUUUUGUAUGAAUGAUUCAAUUUAAUUGUGGCUGGAUGUUUUAAUUUUAUAUAUGAGGUAUAUUUUGAUUGCUUUUGUCGUA
Chenopodium quinoa (quinoa) is the source of this 769-nucleotide long non-coding RNA. RefSeq lists it as uncharacterized. The transcript has 3 exons. Lineage: Eukaryota; Viridiplantae; Streptophyta; Magnoliopsida; Caryophyllales; Amaranthaceae. The record is from RefSeq and is a predicted model, not a curated record.